Molecule: non-coding RNA, 99 nt
Filed under: Prevotella disiens
Lineage: Bacteria; Pseudomonadati; Bacteroidota; Bacteroidia; Bacteroidales; Prevotellaceae
Description: TPP sequence
Rfam family: TPP riboswitch aptamer (THI element)
About the family: Vitamin B(1) in its active form thiamin pyrophosphate (TPP) is an essential coenzyme that is synthesised by coupling of pyrimidine and thiazole moieties in bacteria.
Source: RNAcentral
AUGAUAACUAAGGGGUGCUUGUUCGUUUGAACUUGCUGAGAAUAGACCCAUAAACCUGAUACGGAUAAUGCCGUCGUAGGGAUUCCCCUUUUACUACUU